CUGGCCCCGGGGGGUCACACCUGGAUUGGGGGUCACACCUGGCCCCGGGGGGUCUCACCUGUCCCCUCCCCCCAGCCCCAGGUGACCCCGGUGUCGCCGCUGGAGCCGAAAGCGCCGGGCCCGGUGGGGGAUGGGCAGGUGACCCCUGCCGGCGGCCCGGCCGAGGCCGUGCCCCCUCACCUGGCGCUCACCUGGGCGCGGCGCCGCCGGCACAGCCCCCACUUCCCGCUCUGCUCCUUCUGCUGCGGCUGCUGCCGCAACCGCGGCUGCGGCCUCUGCUGCCGCACCUGAGCGCACCUGGCGCACCUGGGCACAGCUGGGCACACCUGGGAUCACCUGAGCUUCAACUGAGCGCACCUGGGCACACCUGAGCACACCUGGGCACAGCUGGGCACACCUGGGAUCACCUGAACUGCACCUGAGCGCAGCUGGGCACAGCUGAGCCCCACCUCAGCUUCACCUGAAUGCACCUGGGCACACCUGGGCACAGCUGGGAUCACCUGAACUGCACCUGAGCGCACCUGGGCACACCUGGGCACACCUGGGCACACCUGGGCGCACCUGGGAUCACCUGAGCUUCAACUGAGCGCACCUGGGCACACCUGGGCGCACCUGGGCACACCUGAGCUUCAACUGAGCGCACCUGGGCACACCUGGGCGCACCUGGGCGCACCUGGGCACACCUGGGCACAGCUGGGAUCACCUGAACUGCACCUGGCACACCUGGGCACACCUGGGCACACCUGGGAUCACCUGAGCUUCAACUGAGCGCACCUGGCACACCUGGGCACACCUGGGCACACCUGGGAUCACCUGAGCUUCAACUGAGCGCACCUGGGCACAGCUGGGAUCACCUGAACUGCACCUGAGCGCACCUGGGCACACCUGAGCACACCUGGGCACACCUGGGAUCACCUGAGCUUCAACUGAGCGCACCUGAGCACAGCUGGGCGCACCUGGGAUCACCUGAACUGCACCUGAGCGCACCUGGGCACAGCUGGGCACAGCUGGAAUCACCUGAACUGCACCUGAGCGCACCUGGGCACACCUGGGCACACCUGAGCUUCAACUGAGCGCACCUGAGCACAGCUGGGCACACCUGAGUGCACCUGGGAUCACCUGAACUGCACCUGGGCACACCUGGGCACACCUGGGAUCACCUGAACUGCACCUGAGCACACCUGGGCACAGCUGGGCACAGCUGGCAUCACCUGAACAGCACCUGAGCGCACCUGGGCAGAGCUGGGCACACCUGAACUGCACCUGGGCGCACCUGGGCGCAGCUGGGAUCACCUGAGCUUCAACUGAGCGCACCUGAGCACAGCUGGGCACAGCUGGGCACAGCUGGGAUCAGCUGAACAGCACCUGAGC
This 1371-nucleotide long non-coding RNA is filed under the name Lonchura striata (white-rumped munia). RNAcentral's name for it is "domestica (Bengalese finch) lncRNA (ENSLSDG00000003019.1)". Lineage: Eukaryota; Metazoa; Chordata; Aves; Passeriformes; Estrildidae. The record is from RNAcentral.